RNAcentral lists this ribosomal RNA (492 nucleotides) under uncultured bacterium. Its description in RNAcentral is "partial 16S ribosomal RNA". It matches the Rfam family "Bacterial small subunit ribosomal RNA", at positions 29 to 507 of the family's 1533-position model. The record is from RNAcentral.
AGUGAACGCUGGCGGUAGGCCUAACACAUGCAAGUCGAACGGCGGCACAGUAAGAGCUUGCUCUUACGGGUGGCGAGUGGCGGACGGGUGAGGAAUACAUCGGAAUCUACUUUUUCGUGGGGGAUAACGUAGGGAAACUUACGCUAAUACCGCAUACGACCUACGAGUGAAAGCAGGGGAUCUUCGGACCUUUCGCGAUUGAAUGAGCCGAUGUCGGAUUAGCUAGUUGGCGGGGUAAAGGCCCACCAAGGCGACGAUCCGUAGCUGGUCUGAGAGGAUGAUCAGCCACACUGGAACUGAGACACGGUCCAGACUCCUACGGGAGGCAGCAGUGGGGAAUAUUGGACAAUGGGCGCAAGCCUGAUCCAGCCAUACCGCGUGGGUGAAGAAGGCCUUCGGGUUGUAAAGCCCUUUUGUUGGGAAAGAAAAGAAGCAGGAUAAUACCCCGCUGUUCUGACGGUACCCAAAGAAUAAGCACCGGCUAACUUCGUG